Molecule: ribosomal RNA, 253 nt
Filed under: uncultured bacterium
Lineage: Bacteria
Description: partial 16S ribosomal RNA
Rfam family: Bacterial small subunit ribosomal RNA
Source: RNAcentral
UACGUAGGUGGCAAGCGUUGUCCGGAUUUACUGGGCGUAAAGAGCGCGCAGGCGGUCGUUCAAGUCGCGUGUGAAAGCCCCCGGCUCAACUGGGGAGGGUCACGCGAUACUGAUCGACUCGAAGGCAGGAGAGGGAAGUGGAAUUCCCGGUGUAGUGGUGAAAUGCGUAGAGAUCCGGAGGAACACCAGUGGCGAAGGCGGCUGGCUGGACCUGACCUGACGCUGAGGCGCGAAGGCGUGGGGAGCGAACGGG